RNAcentral lists this ribosomal RNA (672 nucleotides) under Triticum aestivum (bread wheat). RNAcentral describes it as "partial small subunit ribosomal RNA". The record is from RNAcentral. Lineage: Eukaryota; Viridiplantae; Streptophyta; Magnoliopsida; Poales; Poaceae.
AUGCCGGCGACACAAGUGCCUCGAACAGAAGUUUUGGAAAACCAUGUUAGCAACUUGAAUCUUCUGAGCUGGAAUUGCCGAGGGUGUGGAAAUUCUCGUACAAUACGGGAUCUUGUGAGCUUGGUGCAGGUUCAUUCUCCUACUAUCGUCUUUCUUUGUGAAACUAGGCAAAGGAAAGUUAAGAUGAAAAGAUAUCGAUCCCGCUUAGGUCUAAGUGGUUUCGAAGCAGUCAAUAGCAAUGGUCUUAGUGGUGGCUUAGCUCUUUUCUGGCAUGAAUCGGUACAACUUGAUGUAAAAGAUAUGAAUGAACGAUAUAUUGAUGCCUAUGUGAGUGCUGCGACGGGGGAGCCACCUUGGUGGCUUACCCGCGUCUAUGGAGAACCGCGGACGGAGGACCGACAUCGCAUGUGGUCCGUCCUCCGGGAUCUCCACCGCCAAGCCGACAUGCCGUGGGUGGUGGUCGGAGACUUCAACGAGGCUAUGUGGAGCUUCGAACACUUCUCCGAAUCACCGCGUCCGGCAGGUCAGAUGAUUGAUUUUUGUGAUGCUAUGGAAGUUUGUGGAUUGGGUGAUCUUGGUUUUGCAGGGCUGCCUUUCACUUAUGACAAUCGCCGUGGAGGACGGGCGAAUGUCAAAGUCAGAUUGGACCGGGCUGUUGCAAAUAAUUCUUAG